RNAcentral lists this ribosomal RNA (496 nucleotides) under uncultured bacterium. RNAcentral describes it as "partial 16S ribosomal RNA". It matches the Rfam family "Bacterial small subunit ribosomal RNA", at positions 28 to 506 of the family's 1533-position model. The record is from RNAcentral.
GAUGAACGCUGGCGGCGUGCCUAAUACAUGCAAGUCGAGCGAACAGACGAGGAGCUUGCUCCUCUGACGUUAGCGGCGGACGGGUGAGUAACACGUGGAUAACCUACCUAUAAGACAGGGAUAACUUCGGGAAACCGGAGCUAAUACCGGAUAAUAUAUUGAACCGCAUGGUUCAAUAGUGAAAGACGGUUUUGCUGUCACUUAUAGAUGGAUCCGCGCCGCAUUAGCUAGUUGGUAAGGUAACGGCUUACCAAGGCGACGAUGCGUAGCCGACCUGAGAGGGUGAUCGGCCACACUGGAACUGAGACACGGUCCAGACUCCUACGGGAGGCAGCAGUAGGGAAUCUUCCGCAAUGGGCGAAAGCCUGACGGAGCAACGCCGCGUGAGUGAUGAAGGUCUUCGGAUCGUAAAACUCUGUUAUUAGGGAAGAACAAAUGUGUAAGUAACUAUGCACGUCUUGACGGUACCUAAUCAGAAAGCCACGGCUAACUACGU